UACGAAGGGGGCGAGCGUUGUUCGGAAUCACUGGGCUUAAAGCGCAUGUAGGCGGGCCGCUUAGCACUUUGUGAAAUCCCUCGGCUUAACCGGGGAAUUGCUUGGUGAACGGGCGGUCUUGAGGCAGGUAGGGGCGCGAGGAACUGUUGGUGGAGCGGUGGAAUGCGUAGAUAUCAAGAGGAAAACCGGAGGCGGAGGCGUCGCGCUGGGCCUGUCCUGACGCUGAGAUGCGAAAGCCAGGGGAGCAAACGGG
RNAcentral lists this ribosomal RNA (253 nucleotides) under uncultured bacterium. Its description in RNAcentral is "partial 16S ribosomal RNA". It matches the Rfam family "Bacterial small subunit ribosomal RNA", at positions 524 to 776 of the family's 1533-position model. The record is from RNAcentral.